AGUGAACGCUGGCGGUAGGCCUAACACAUGCAAGUCGAACGGCAGCACAGUAAGAGCUUGCUCUUACGGGUGGCGAGUGGCGGACGGGUGAGGAAUACAUCGGAAUCUACUUUUUCGUGGGGGAUAACGUAGGGAAACUUACGCUAAUACCGCAUACGACCUACGGGUGAAAGCAGGGGAUCUUCGGACCUUGCGCGAUUGAAUGAGACGAUGUCGGAUUAGCUAGUUGGCGGGGUAAAGGCCCACCAAGGCGACGAUCCGUAGCUGGUCUGAGAGGAUGAUCAGCCACACUGGAACUGAGACACGGUCCAGACUCCUACGGGAGGCAGCAGUGGGGAAUAUUGGACAAUGGGCGCAAGCCUGAUCCAGCCAUGCCGCGUGGGUGAAGAAGGCCUUCGGGUUGUAAAGCCCUUUUGUUGGGAAAGAAAAGCAGCAGGUGAAUACCCCGCUGUUCUGACGGUACCCAAAGAAUAAGCACCGGCUAACUUCGUG
This 492-nucleotide ribosomal RNA is filed under the name uncultured bacterium. RNAcentral's name for it is "partial 16S ribosomal RNA". It matches the Rfam family "Bacterial small subunit ribosomal RNA", at positions 29 to 507 of the family's 1533-position model. The record is from RNAcentral.